This 253-nucleotide ribosomal RNA is filed under the name uncultured bacterium. Its description in RNAcentral is "partial 16S ribosomal RNA". It matches the Rfam family "Bacterial small subunit ribosomal RNA", at positions 524 to 776 of the family's 1533-position model. The record is from RNAcentral.
UACAGAGGGCGCGAGCGUUGUCCGGAAUCACUGGGCGUAAAGCGCACGUAGGCGGCCUUUUAAGUCAGGGGUGAAAUCCUGGAGCUCAACUCCAGAACUGCCUUUGAUACUGGGAGACUUGAGUCCGGGAGAGGUGAGUGGAACUGCGAGUGUAGAGGUGAAAUUCGUAGAUAUUCGCAAGAACACCAGUGGCGAAGGCGGCUCACUGGCCCGGUACUGACGCUGAGGUGCGAAAGCGUGGGGAGCAAACAGG